RNAcentral lists this ribosomal RNA (254 nucleotides) under uncultured bacterium. RNAcentral describes it as "partial 16S ribosomal RNA". It matches the Rfam family "Bacterial small subunit ribosomal RNA", at positions 524 to 776 of the family's 1533-position model. The record is from RNAcentral.
UACGUAGGGUGCAAGCGUUUGUCCGGAAUUAUUGGGCGUAAAGAGCUCGUAGGCGGUCUGUCGCGUCUGCUGUGAAAACUCAGGGCUUAACCCUGAGCUUGCAGUGGGUACGGGCAGACUAGAGUGCGGUAGGGGAGACUGGAAUUCCUGGUGUAGCGGUGAAAUGCGCAGAUAUCAGGAGGAACACCGGUGGCGAAGGCGGGUCUCUGGGCCGUAACUGACGCUGAGGAGCGAAAGCAUGGGGAGCGAACAGG